CUGGGGGGGUUUGGUGCAGGAGCUGGUGCAUGAUGAUGAUGCUUGUGCUUGUGUUUUCUUUUCAUCUUGUGUUUUCCAGGAGCUGGUGCUGGGGAAGGCACUAAUGAUGGUGAGGGGGCUGGUGGUGGAAUAGCUGGUGCUGGCACAGGUGCCGGUGGUGGUGUUGCUGGUGCGGGUGCAGGUACUUCCUUAGCUGGAGCUGGUGCUGGUGGUGGUGUUGCUGGAGCUGGUGCUGGAGACACUUGUGGUGGCGGUGUAGCUGGUGGUGGUAUUGGAGUGGCAGCUGGAGAACUUUGUGGUGGUUGUGGUGGUGGAACUACUGGGGUGGUAGCUGGUGCGACUUUAGGAGAUGGUGAUGAUAUAGGAGUGGUUGCAGUUGGGGGUGUCACUGCACUUGCUGGUGAUUGUGUUGGA
Molecule: long non-coding RNA, 414 nt
Filed under: Populus trichocarpa (black cottonwood)
Lineage: Eukaryota; Viridiplantae; Streptophyta; Magnoliopsida; Malpighiales; Salicaceae
Description: long non-coding RNA (PTRI_LNC002546)
Source: RNAcentral